This 515-nucleotide ribosomal RNA is filed under the name uncultured bacterium. RNAcentral's name for it is "partial 16S ribosomal RNA". It matches the Rfam family "Bacterial small subunit ribosomal RNA", at positions 28 to 523 of the family's 1533-position model. The record is from RNAcentral.
GACGAACGCUGGCGGCGUGCCUAAUACAUGCAAGUCGAGCGGACUUUCAAGAAGCUUGCUUUUUGAAAGUUAGCGGCGGACGGGUGAGUAACACGUGGGCAACCUGCCUGUAAGACGGGGAUAACUCCGGGAAACCGGGGCUAAUACCGGAUAAUAUCUUUCUUCGCAUGAAGGAAGGUUGAAAGGCGGCGCAAGCUGCCGCUUGCAGAUGGGCCCGCGGCGCAUUAGCUAGUUGGUGAGGUAACGGCUCACCAAGGCGACGAUGCGUAGCCGACCUGAUAGGGGGAUCGGCCACACUGGGACUGGGACGCGGCCCAGACUCCUACGGGAGGCAGCAGUAGGGAAUCUUCCGCAAUGGACGAAAGUCUGACGGAGCAACGCCGCGUGAGCGAAGAAGGUCUUCGGAUCGUAAAGCUCUGUUGUCAGGGAAGAACAAGUACCGUUCGAAUAGGGCGGUACCUUGACGGUACCUGACCAGAAAGCCACGGCUAACUACGUGCCAGCCGCCGCAGUAA